This 253-nucleotide ribosomal RNA is filed under the name uncultured bacterium. Its description in RNAcentral is "partial 16S ribosomal RNA". It matches the Rfam family "Bacterial small subunit ribosomal RNA", at positions 524 to 776 of the family's 1533-position model. The record is from RNAcentral.
UACGAAGGGUGCAAACGUUGCUCGGAAUUCUUGGGCGUAAAGAGCGCGCAGGCGGCUGGGCAAGUCCGAUGUGAAAGCUUCCGGCUUAACUGGAAAAUUGCAUCGGAAACUGCUCGGCUUGAAGGUGGGAGAGGGUAGCGGAAUUCCCGGUGUAGUGGUGAAAUGCGUAGAUAUCGGGAGGAACACCAGUGGCGAAGGCGGCUACCUGGCCCAUUCUUGACGCUGAGGCGCGAAAGCUAGGGGAGCAAACGGG